RNAcentral lists this ribosomal RNA (495 nucleotides) under uncultured bacterium. RNAcentral's name for it is "partial 16S ribosomal RNA". It matches the Rfam family "Bacterial small subunit ribosomal RNA", at positions 28 to 507 of the family's 1533-position model. The record is from RNAcentral.
GAUGAACGCUGGCGGCGUGCCUAAUACAUGCAAGUAGAACGCUGACGGAGGAGCUUGCUCUUCUGGAUGAGUCGCGAACGGGUGAGUAACGCGUAGGUAACCUGCCUGGUAGCGGGGGGUAACUAUUGGAAACGAUAGCUAAUACCGCAUGACAACAGUUAUUGCAUGAUAACUGUUUAAAAGGGGCAACUGCUCCACUACCAGAUGGACCUGCGUUGUAUUAGCUAGUUGGUGAGGUAACGGCUCACCAAGGCGACGAUACAUAGCCGACCUGAGAGGGUGGUCGGCCACACUGGGACUGGGACACGGCCCAGACUCCUACGGGAGGCAGCAGGAGGGGAACUUCGGAAAUGGACGGAAGUCUGACCGAGCAACGCCGCGUGAGGGAAGAAGGGUUUCGGAUCGUAAAGCUCUGUUGUAAGAGAAGAAAGAGUGUGAGGGUGGAAAGUUCACACUGUGACGGUAUCUUAACAGAAAGGGACGGCUAACUACGUG